This 468-nucleotide ribosomal RNA is filed under the name uncultured bacterium. RNAcentral describes it as "partial 16S ribosomal RNA". It matches the Rfam family "Bacterial small subunit ribosomal RNA", at positions 28 to 507 of the family's 1533-position model. The record is from RNAcentral.
GACGAACGCUGGCGGCGUGCUUAAUACAUGCAAGUCGAACGGAAAGGCCCUGCUUUUGUGGGGUGCUCGAGUGCCGCACGGGUGAGUAUAACGCGUGUAACCUGCCCUUGAGUUUGGGAUACCUUCAGGAAACUGGGGCUCUUAUAGGAUAGGAGCUCUUGAUGCAUGGUGGGGGAUGGAAAGUUUCGGCGGUUGGGGAUGGACUCGCGGUUGAUCAGCUUGUUGGUGGGGUAGUGGCUUACCAAGGCUCUGACGGGUAGCCGGCUUGAGAGGGUGACCGGCCACAAUGGGACUGAGAUAGGGCCCAGAGUCCUACGGGAGGCAGCAGUGAGAAAUAUUGCGCGAUGGGCGGAAGCCGGAUACAGCGACGCCGCGUGCGGGAUGACGGCCUUCGGGUUAUAAACCGCUUGCGCCUGGGACGAAGCGUGAGUGACGGUAAUGAGUAAAGAAGCACCGGCUAACUACGUG